RNAcentral lists this ribosomal RNA (1236 nucleotides) under metagenome. Its description in RNAcentral is "bacterial LSU rRNA". It matches the Rfam family "Bacterial large subunit ribosomal RNA", at positions 1564 to 2808 of the family's 2925-position model. The record is from RNAcentral.
UGAGUACGAGAUGCUACGGCAUCGAAGCAGUCUAUGUCAUACUUCCAAGAAAAGCUUGCAAUGUCAUAAACAAAUAAUGCCUGUACCAUAACCGACACAGGUGGGUAGGUAGAGUAUACUAAGGGGCGCGAGAUAACUCUCUCUAAGGAACUCGGCAAAAUGACUCCGUAACUUCGGGAGAAGGAGUGCCUUAUUUUUAUAAGGUUGCAAUAACAAGAUCCAAGCAACUGUUUACCAAAAACACAGGUCUCCGCUAAGUCGUAAGACGAUGUAUGGGGGCUGACGCCUGCCCAGUGCCAGAAGGUUAAAGAAGUUGGUUAGCAUUAGCGAAGCUGAUAACUGAAGCCCUGGUGAACGGCGGCCGUAACGAUAACGGUCCUAAGGUAGCGAAAUUCCUUGUCGGGUAAGUUCCGACCCGCACGAAAGGCGUAAUGAUUUGGAUACUGUCUCGGAGAGGGGCUCGGUGAAAUAGACUUGUCUGUGAAGAUGCGGACUACCUGCACCUGGACAGAAAGACCCUAUGAAGCUUUACUGUAACUUGAGAUUGAAAUUGGACUUUAUCUGCGCAGUAUAGGUGGGAGACGUUGAAAAUAUUCUUGCGGGAAUAUUGGAGUCAUCAGUGAGAUACCACUCUUAUAAUGUUAGAUUUCUAACUUUGUAUCAUUAUCUGGUCAAAGAACAGUUUCAGGCGGGCAGUUUGACUGGGGCGGUCGCCUCUCAAACGGUAACGGAGGCGCACAAAGGUUUCCUCUGAACGUGUAGAAAUCGUAUCUAGAGUGUAAAGGCAUAAGGAAGCUUGACUGUGAGACCUACAAGUCGAGCAGGGACGAAAGUCGGUCUUAGUGAUCUGACGGUGCUGAGUGGAAAGGCCGUCACUCAACGGAUAAAAGUUACUCUAGGAUAACAGGCUGAUCUCCCCCAAGAGUUCACAUCGACGGGGAGGUUUGGCACCUCGAUGUCGGCUCAUCGCAUCCUGGGGCGGUAGUACGUCCCAAGGGUUGGGCUGUUCGCCCAUGAAAGCGGUACGCGAGCUGGGUUCAGAACGUCGUGAGACAGUUCGGUCCAUAUCCGGUGUAGGCGUUAGAAUAUUGAGAGGAGCCUUCUUUAGUACGAGAGGACCGAGAAGGACAUACCUCUGGUGUACCAGUUAUCGUGCCAACGGUAAACGCUGGGUAGCCAUGUAUGGAGAGGAUAACCGCCGAAAGCAUCUAAGUGGGAAGCCCACCUCAAGAUAAG